RNAcentral lists this ribosomal RNA (509 nucleotides) under uncultured glomeraceous AM fungus. RNAcentral describes it as "SSU rRNA". It matches the Rfam family "Eukaryotic small subunit ribosomal RNA", at positions 569 to 1078 of the family's 1831-position model. The record is from RNAcentral. Lineage: Eukaryota; Fungi; Glomeromycota; Glomeromycetes; Glomerales; Glomeraceae.
AGCAGCCGCGGUAAUUCCAGCUCCAAUAGCGUAUAUUAAAGUUGUUGCAGUUAAAAAGCUCGUAGUUGAAUUUCGGGAUCAAUGUUUCGGUCAUGCCCUUGGUAUGUACUGAUAUUAUUGGUUUCUCACCUUCUAAAGAACCGUAAUGCCAUUAAUUUGGUGUCACGGGGAAUUAGGACUGUUACCUUGAAAAAAUUAGAGUGUUUAAGGCAGGCUCACGCUUGAAUACAUUAGCAUGGAAUAAUGAAAUAGGACAUCCGAUUCUAUUUUGUUGGUUUCUAGGAUCGAUGUAAUGAUUAAUAGGGAUAGUUGGGGGCAUUAGUAUUCAAUUGUCAGAGGUGAAAUUCUUGGAUUUAUUGAAGACUAACUACUGCGAAAGCAUUUGCCAAGGAUGUUUUCAUUAAUCAAGAACGAAAGUUAGGGGAUCGAAGACGAUCAGAUACCGUCGUAGUCUUAACCAUAAACUAUGCCGACUAGGGAUCGGAUGAUGUUAAUUUUUUAAUGACUCA